GACAUAUGCACCUCCUAGAAUCUACGGUGGUAUACUGAUGCUCUGUUUAUUGCCUGUUCAGCACACACCAGACUCCCCAAAGACAGAUGGCGCUCACUGUCUCAUUUUACACCUUUAUAGCUUGGAAACAGACCAUUUCACAGAAGCAGACAGAAAGGGAUUCAGUGCAGAAACAUAAAGAAACAUUCCUCUGGAUGCCUGCAGAUUCCUCUUUUCAGAAGUGGGCAGAGGAGAAGAUAGAAAGGGAUCAGGAUGGGAUCAGGAGGGAUUGUCUUCUGUUUGUUUAGAGGCAUGAAGCUCCUUUCUGAAGAAGGAAAGUCUUCUUAACCAUACUUUGAAAACAAUGCUGCAAACACCAAAAACAUAUUUAAUGGUCUGUGUUAACAACUAAAACUGUGGCCUAAGAAGAAUGAACUUUUCCUGGCUGGGUCCUCUCAGGAGUUGUGUAUCACCACAGGGAACUGCAGUGUGGCUGAGGCUGGCGGGUACCUCUGGAGCUCGUCAAGUCAGGCCUGCUCUGAGCAGGGUCAGCUCAGGACUGUGUCCAGCCUGGCUUUGAAUAUCUCCAAGGAUGGAGACUCCACAACCUCUCUGGGCAACCUGCUCCACUGUUUAACCACCCUCACGGCACAAAAGCUUUUUCUAAUGUAUUUCAGGUUUUGCCCAUUGCCUCUUCUUCUGUCAGUGGGCACUACUGAGAAGAGUCCCCUUCUCUCUUCUUUACUCGCCCCAUCAGGUAUUUAUGCACAUGGAUAAGGUUCUCCUGAGCCUCCUCAUGUCUGGACUAAACAGCCCCUGCUCUUUCAGUCUCUCCUGCUAUGAGAGAUACUUCAAUGACUGAAGCCGUUAGCAACCUUUUCAGAGUGUAGUGUGGGUGUAAUGUGUCCUUGUACAGGAAUCAGAACUGCAUGUUUCGAUAUACAAAAGCUCUAUGUGUCUUUUGUGUAUUGUUGUUUACUUCAUUAAUAACCUCAUUCAAGUAGUGCAGUGGUAGAAUCACAUUUCACCUUUCUCUAUUUGACAUGCUAACUUAUUUCUCUAGCCUGUAUACAAAAUGUUACAGAAAUCCUUCUGAACUUUGAAUCAUCUACCAUCUAUACCAAGAUAUUAUCCUGUACAGAAAUAUCAAUGAUUCCCCACGCCCACCCCCCCCCAAAAUGUGUCAUGGUUACCACA
Molecule: long non-coding RNA, 1176 nt
Organism: Harpia harpyja (harpy eagle)
Lineage: Eukaryota; Metazoa; Chordata; Aves; Accipitriformes; Accipitridae
Exons: 4
Source: RefSeq, a predicted model, not a curated record